Molecule: long non-coding RNA, 199 nt
Filed under: Carica papaya (papaya)
Lineage: Eukaryota; Viridiplantae; Streptophyta; Magnoliopsida; Brassicales; Caricaceae
Description: long non-coding RNA (CPAP_LNC010458)
Source: RNAcentral
ACUGUCUCAAAAUUUUCCUAAUUUUUCCUCUUACUGUAUGAUCGAAUACACUUUAUUCAAACUAGGGAAAUGUUUAGUUAAUAAAGCUUGAGUUUUAAUAGCUUUGUAAGAUUUGUUCAAACCCAUCAUAACUUCACCACAAAAUCUCUCUGUUGGUAUAGUUUUAUGUCCCUCCACAUGUGCAAGUUUUUAUUGAUUC